CACAUGAACAUCGACAUUUCGAACGCACAUUGCGGUCCACGGAUACAAUUCCCGGACCACGCCUGGCUGAGGGUCGUU
Molecule: ribosomal RNA, 78 nt
Filed under: Diadegma mollipla
Lineage: Eukaryota; Metazoa; Arthropoda; Insecta; Hymenoptera; Ichneumonidae
Also listed under: 1 other name
Description: partial 5.8S ribosomal RNA
Source: RNAcentral